This 813-nucleotide long non-coding RNA is filed under the name Pan troglodytes (chimpanzee). Its description in RNAcentral is "lincRNA". The record is from RNAcentral. Lineage: Eukaryota; Metazoa; Chordata; Mammalia; Primates; Hominidae.
CACACACACACACACAGCCCGUCUCGCGCCUGAGGUCUCGCCCGCAGGCCGGUGGCGCGGGGUCAGCUGCUGCGUGCGGUCCAGGACAGGGUCGGUUCCGCCGCGCAGCGCCCAGGCCCAGCUCGUCCAGAGUCUGCGGACAGCGCACGUCCAGGCACUUUCCCACACAGGAUGGAGCUGGGCCAUCCUCACAGCUCCUGCCCUGGAGACGCUGGCCUUGUGGAGGGAGGCGGGCAGCAGGAGCAGUGCUUUCUGGGCCUCUGUGGCCAGAGCUGGCCCUGCUGCAGCUCACUUCUGCCUGCAGCCCAGACGUCCUCCUGGUCCUCCUGAUGCCCCCGACCUCCAUGGAGGACGAGCAUUUCCAGCCCAGCCCUCCCCGUCUUCACCUCGCACUGCCCUGACACACUGGGAGCCUCCUGAUCCGUGAACCCGCGCUGGCGGGAGUAGCUACUGACCGCUGGGGACCCCUGCCCAGGCUGUUCGCAUGUGGAAAGGAUUCAGGGAGCAGGCGAUGCCCAAAGCGUGGAGACCAGCACUGCUCUCUCCCCAGCGACAGGUGCACGCCCAGAUCACGGAUGUGUCGGGAACAGCUGUGCUCCUGCUGCUCAGCGUCCGUCACUCCAGGCUGGGAGCGGGUCCCCAAGCUUCCGGCUGGGCCUAUCCGUCUCCACUCUCAGUGUGGGGGUGGGGGGCGCCAACAGCACGCAUUUGCUCUCUGCACUUCUCGUCUGAUAAUGGGCAGAGGGUCCUUCUGCAGCCCCAAAACAUCCCUAGGCAGGAGCCCUGGGGCCCCAAGCAGCCAGGGAGGUGAGC